UCCCCCAGUAACUGCGAGUGAAGAGGGAAGAGCUCAUCAUUGGAAUCUGGCAGUGUUGCACUGUCCGAGUUGUAGAUGAGGAGUAGUCCGUCUGGACUGCAUGGCGUCCAAGUACAAUAGGCCGUCAGUGGGACAUCAUAGAGGGUGACAAUCCCGUCCUUGACGCCAAUGUGCAAGUCUAUUACGAUGGCUAUCUCAGAGAGUCGAGCAGUUUGGGAUUUGCUGCUUAAACAUGGGAGGUAGAUUCCUUCUAAAGCUAAAUACAGGCGAGAGACCGAUAGAGAACAAGUACCGCAAGGGAAAGAUGAAAUAGCACUCUGUGAAGGGAGUCAAAAGGCGUGAAAUUGUUGCGAGAGAAGCGAUUCAAGUCAGCGUAGCUAGGCCCAUCAAGCGUCUUCGCUUUGGACUAGCUUUGCCAGCGGUCUUGUCCCUUGAAGAGA
RNAcentral lists this ribosomal RNA (440 nucleotides) under Craterellus yunnanensis. RNAcentral describes it as "Cantharellus yunnanensis partial large subunit ribosomal RNA". It matches the Rfam family "Eukaryotic large subunit ribosomal RNA", at positions 76 to 505 of the family's 3401-position model. Lineage: Eukaryota; Fungi; Basidiomycota; Agaricomycetes; Cantharellales; Hydnaceae. The record is from RNAcentral.